AGUCGAGCGGUAAGGCCCUUCGGGGUACACGAGCGGCGAACGGGUGAGUAACACGUGGGUGAUCUGCCUCGCACUCUGGGAUAAGCCUGGGAAACUGGGUCUAAUACCGGAUAUGAGCAGCCUCUGCAUGGGGGUUGUUGGAAAGGUUUACUGGUGCGAGAUGGGCCCGCGGCCUAUCAGCUUGUUGGUGGGGUAAUGGCCUACCAAGGCGACGACGGGUAGCCGGCCUGAGAGGGCGACCGGCCACACUGGGACUGAGACACGGCCCAGACUCCUACGGGAGGCAGCAGUGGGGAAUAUUGCACAAUGGGCGAAAGCCUGAUGCAGCGACGCCGCGUGAGGGAUGACGGCCUUCGGGUUGUAAACCUCUUUCGAACAGGGACGAAGCGCAAGUGACGGUACCUGUAGAAGAAGCACCGGCCAACUACGUGCCAGCAGCCGCGGUAAUACGUAGGGUGCGAGCGUUGUCCGGAAUUACUGGGCGUAAAGAGCUUGUAGGCGGUCUGUCACGUCGAUUGUGAAAACUCGCGGCUCAACCGCGAGCCUGCAGUCGAUACGGGCAGACUAGAGUACUUCAGGGGAGACUGGAAUUCCUGGUGUAGCGGUGAAAUGCGCAGAUAUCAGGAGGAACACCGGUGGCGAAGGCGGGUCUCUGGGAAGUAACUGACGCUGAGAAGCGAAAGCGUGGGUAGCGAACAGGAUUAGAUACCCUGGUAGUCCACGCCGUAAACGGUGGGUACUAGGUGUGGGUUUCCUUCCACGGGAUCCGUGCCGUAGCUAACGCAUUAAGUACCCCGCCUGGGGAGUACGGCCGCAAGGCUAAAACUCAAAGGAAUUGACGGGGGCCCGCACAAGCGGCGGAGCAUGUGGAUUAAUUCGAUGCAACGCGAAGAACCUUACCUGGGUUUGACAUACACCGGAAAGCCAUAGAGAUAUGGCCCCCCUUGUGGUCGGUGUACAGGUGGUGCAUGGCUGUCGUCAGCUCGUGUCGUGAGAUGUUGGGUUAAGUCCCGCAACGAGCGCAACCCUUAUCUUAUGUUGCCAGCGCGUAAUGGCGGGGACUCGUGAGAGACUGCCGGGGUCAACUCGGAGGAAGGUGGGGACGACGUCAAGUCAUCAUGCCCCUUAUGUCCAGGGCUUCACACAUGCUACAAUGGCCGGUACAGAGGGCUGCGAUACCGUGAGGUGGAGCGAAUCCCUUAAAGCCGGUCUCAGUUCGGAUCGGGGUCUGCAACUCGACCCCGUGAAGUUGGAGUCGCUAGUAAUCGCAGAUCAGCAACGCUGCGGUGAAUACGUUCCCGGGCCUUGUACACACCGCCCGUCACGUCAUGAAAGUCGGUAACACCCGAAGCCAGUGGCCUAACCCUUGUGGAGG
RNAcentral lists this ribosomal RNA (1375 nucleotides) under Nocardia sp. WY1202. Its description in RNAcentral is "16S ribosomal RNA". It matches the Rfam family "Bacterial small subunit ribosomal RNA". Lineage: Bacteria; Bacillati; Actinomycetota; Actinomycetes; Mycobacteriales; Nocardiaceae. The record is from RNAcentral.